GACGAACGCUGGCGGCGUGCUUAACACAUGCAAGUCGAACGGAAAGGCCCUGCUUUUGUGGGGUGCUCGAGUGGCGAACGGGUGAGUAACACGUGAGUAACCUGCCCUUGACUUUGGGAUAACUUCAGGAAACUGGGGCUAAUACCGGAUAGGAGCUCCUGCUGCAUGGUGGGGGUUGGAAAGUUUCGGCGGUUGGGGAUGGACUCGCGGCUUAUCAGCUUGUUGGUGGGGUAGUGGCUUACCAAGGCUUUGACGGGUAGCCGGCCUGAGAGGGUGACCGGCCACAUGGGGACUGAGAGACGGCCCAGACUCCUACGGGAGGCAGCAGUGGGGAAUAUUGCACAAUGGGCGGAAGCCUGAUGCAGCAACGCCGCGUGCGGGAUGACGGCCUUCGGGUUGUAAACCGCUUUCGCCUGUGACGAAGCGUGAGUGACGGUAAUGGGGAAAGAAGCACCGGCUAACUACGG
Molecule: ribosomal RNA, 467 nt
Filed under: uncultured bacterium
Lineage: Bacteria
Description: partial 16S ribosomal RNA
Rfam family: Bacterial small subunit ribosomal RNA
Source: RNAcentral